UACGAAGGGGGCUAGCGUUGCUCGGAAUUACUGGGCGUAAAGCGCACGUAGGCGGAUCUUUAAGUCAGGGGUGAAAUCCUGGAGCUCAACUCCAGAACUGCCUUUGAUACUGAGGAUCUUGAGUUCGGGAGAGGUGAGUGGAACUGCGAGUGUAGAGGUGAAAUUCGUAGAUAUUCGCAAGAACACCAGUGGCGAAGGCGGCUCACUGGCCCGAUACUGGCGCUGAGGCGCGAAAGCGUGGGGAGCAAACAGG
This 253-nucleotide ribosomal RNA is filed under the name uncultured prokaryote. RNAcentral describes it as "partial 16S ribosomal RNA". It matches the Rfam family "Bacterial small subunit ribosomal RNA", at positions 524 to 776 of the family's 1533-position model. The record is from RNAcentral.